This 390-nucleotide ribosomal RNA is filed under the name uncultured bacterium. RNAcentral describes it as "bacterial SSU rRNA". It matches the Rfam family "Bacterial small subunit ribosomal RNA", at positions 29 to 447 of the family's 1533-position model. The record is from RNAcentral.
AGCGAACGCUGGCGGCAGGCUUAACACAUGCAAGUCGAGCGGGCACUUUCGGGUGUCAGCGGCAGACGGGUGAGUAACACGUGGGAACGUACCCUUUGGUUCGGAACAACUCCGGGAAACUGGAGCUAAUACCGGAUAAGCCCUUCGGGGAAGAUUUAUUGCCAAGGAUCGGCCCGCGUCUGAUUAGCUAGUUGGUGAGGUAACGGCUCACCAAGGCGACGAUCAGUAGCUGGUCUGAGAGGAUGAUCAGCCACACUGGGACUGAGACACGGCCCAGACUCCUACGGGAGGCAGCAGUGGGGAAUAUUGGACAAUGGGCGAAAGCCUGAUCCAGCCAUGCCGCGUGAGUGACGAAGGCCCUAGGGUUGUAAAGCUCUUUCGGCGGGGACG